RNAcentral lists this ribosomal RNA (582 nucleotides) under uncultured bacterium. Its description in RNAcentral is "partial 16S ribosomal RNA". It matches the Rfam family "Bacterial small subunit ribosomal RNA", at positions 355 to 1375 of the family's 1533-position model. The record is from RNAcentral.
UGGGGAAUUUUGGACAAUGGGCGAAAGCCUGAUCCAGCAAUGCCGCGUGUGUGAAGAAGGCCUUCGGGUUGUAAAGCACUUUUGUCCGGAAAGAAAUCCUUGGCUCUAAUACAGUCGGGGGAUGACGGUACCGGAAGAAUAAGCACCGGCUAACUACGUGCCAGCAGCCGCGGUAAUACGUAGGGUGCAAGCGUUAAUCGGAAUUACUGGGCGUAAAGCGUGCGCAGGCGGUUUGCUAAGACCGAUGUGAAAUCCCGGGCUCAACCUGGGAACUGCAUUGGUGACUGGCAGGCUAGAGUAUGGCAGAGGGGGGUAGAAUUCCACGUGUAGCAGUGAAAUGCGUAGAGAUGUGGAGGAAUACCGAUGGCGAAGGCAGCCCCCUGGGCCAAUACUGACGCUCAUGCACGAAAGCGUGGGGAGCAAACAGGAUUAGAUACCCUGGUAGUCCACGCCCUAAACGAUGUCAACUAGUUGUUGGGGAUUCAUUUCCUUAGUAACGUAGCUAACGCGUGAAGUUGACCGCCUGGGGAGUACGGUCGCAAGAUUAAACUCAAUGAAUUGACGGGGUCAUAGCUGUUUCCU